This 2148-nucleotide ribosomal RNA is filed under the name Triticum aestivum (bread wheat). RNAcentral describes it as "partial small subunit ribosomal RNA". Lineage: Eukaryota; Viridiplantae; Streptophyta; Magnoliopsida; Poales; Poaceae. The record is from RNAcentral.
CGAGCGGGCAGGGGAGAUUGUUCUCUAGUCGGCUAGGAUCUUUUCAGGUGGGAGGUGGUGCCCGUUGUCCUACAGCUCGUGGCCGCGCCGCCCGGGCCUGCGGCUGCGCCGCCAGCCACUCCCCGACCUCGACCGCGUCAAGCCCCGCCCGACGAAGACCUCGCACCUCGACCGCAUGGUCGCCGAGGGGCCGCACCGCGCGUGCCUCCACCCGAUGAGCGUCCCCGUGGAGCUGCCCGGCUGGAUGGCGCUGCAGACGCCGCCGCCGUGGCCGGUGCGGCUCCAGCACGCGCACGUGAUGCUGGGGUUCCUCACGGGGAUGCGGCACGAGGAGCUGCAGAAAACCCGGUUCGUGUUGGGGUGGUGCGAGUUGUUCGUCCCGUUGCUGCAGCCCUGCGUCAUGGCCAGCCCGUAGAUGAUGAUGUGCCGCCUCGUCCUCGCCGUCCGCGCCCUCAGCGACCGCCUCUUCGUCGCCCUCACCUUCCUCUUCUAGCACUGCCUCCAGGAGGGCCGCGCCUCCAAGAUGGGCCGGCUCCUGAUGGUGGUCGUCAUGGAGCUCUUCCCGCCGGUCAGGCGGUUCUUCGCGACGAGGCUGGGGUAGGCGACGAUGCCGACUUUCGUGGCGGGGGCAGGGGCUGGCGGAUUCGAUAACCACGACGUAACGGUAAUCGUAGUAUGUACUGUGGCAGAUGGACUGGCGGAUUCGAUAACCACGACGUAACGGUAAUCGUAGUAUGUCCUGUGGCAGAUGGACUGAGAAGAACAACAACAAUGUUAUUUGUUUGGGUACGCACGUCGCACAAUUCCAGCUGAACCACCUCCUAACCUGGGGCGAGAGCGGUACGAGCAGCGUGAGCCCCGUAUCGCUCGAGAGAAGGAGGAUGCUGCUCCUGCUGGAGGUCGACGGCGUGUAGAUCAGUCCUUGCACCCACCGCGUACACCUCCUGCCAGUUCCGGGCCCCGCAGCGAGACGUGGCGCGCCUGGCCAGCGUCCCACGCCGCCGGGGUAGGAGCCCGAAGGUUCCGCACUAGUUCUUCUGCCGCUGUCGUCGCCGCCGAUCCCGGCCAGGACCUCCCUGACCGACGAGCCCGCGCCUACGGUGCGGUUCCUCUCGUCGCGCCUGCACCAACGGCCCCGCGUGGCGGCGGCGUCGGCGUAGAGCCAACCCUCCGCGCUGCGCUUUCUUACGCGCCGGUAGCACCCCCGGAUGCCCCGUCGGCAGAGUCGGUGCGACGCUCAGUGAGGAGGCGAAGACGAGGCAGUUCGAGGUGGCGGAGGUCGUGGUCGUUGUCUUCUGGGUCAACGAGCGAAGAAGUCGAAGAGGCUGAAGCCAGCACACGAGAGGGGAGGCGGCGCGUGCCUGACGUACGUUGAACUCUACCUUUUGCGGUACUAGCUCCGGGACGUCUGGGGCGACCGCAAACUUCUACCACCGGAGAGGGGUGGAGUAGUCGGAGGGCGGCACGUUCUAUACCUGUCGGGGCUCUACUAGGGUACGGACGAGGGUACGUAGUGGAGGGGUUGCCACCGGUGACGUCCGAAGGUCGACAGUCGCCACUGCUUCGCGCACCCGUGCUAGGUCUAGUCACUUCCUCCGCCGAGCCUCAACAAACGCGUACAGGGGGGCGGGUAGUAGUCGGGCCGAGCGGGUGCGGGGAGACGCGGUGGUUUCAGGUCCCGGUGGAGCCGUGGAAGAGCGGCAUCACGAGCGGUCCCACGUCGUCGUUUGGGCUACGGUCACCGAGUUGCCCGCCACGAAGCGGACCACGUCCUCAACCCGCGCGAGCCCGGUUUCCUGUACUACUGGGGUUUCCACCGCUGUCACGAGUACUUCGCCAAGAUCCUCGGAAACAGACUGCCUCUGUAGCGACGGUAGCGGUUCGAGUGACCCGACCUAGUUCGACGUGAGUUCUAACGACGACCGUACCGGCCCUAGCGGCCGCGGCUACUCAGAGAGGUACAAACUAGUACAAUCAAUCCAGAAGCUAAUCAGAGGCAGCAGUCGACCAGAAUUUUGUCGAACUCAAUACCAUACACCGCUCUAGCUGCUGCUACCCAAAAACACGGGCAACCACCGGCAGCAGCGGGGGCCGUACAACAUUCCACAUCACGUAGUAGAAGUAAUCUACACUAGCUGCCUCUUACGG